Molecule: long non-coding RNA, 390 nt
Organism: Anguilla anguilla (European eel)
Lineage: Eukaryota; Metazoa; Chordata; Actinopteri; Anguilliformes; Anguillidae
Exons: 3
Source: RefSeq, a predicted model, not a curated record
CCUCCCUCUCUCUCAGGCUACUGUGGAGAUGCUCUUGCCAUCCACUCCUUCAUCAUCAGAGGAUUACCAUUACUGUGGCUGAGCUAAGAAACAAGACAGAGAGAAUGACAAUGGCUGAUUUCUGCUCACUCCCUGCUGAUCUCAGAUCUGAAACCAACCUUCAGCUGACAGGAAGUUGACCCAGAGACGGAGGAACAGGAAGGAAGUCAGCCAGGGAAGCCUCCGUACCCCCAGCUCUCGCCCACACACUCUUUACCGUCUUUUCCGUUGUCUACCAACAUCUUCAACACAAGCCCCGAAUCAAAUGCUUCUUUAUGUUGUUUCACUCCUGCCCUUCUCCCUUAUAUUUUGUUCUUUUUUGUCUUUGCAGGCCCUGUUUUUGUGUGUGCU